UCCUUCUUGGCCCUGCCGAAAACAAGGUGGGCAGUUCCUGCCACCUGGAGCUCGUUUCCGCACCUGUCAAAUGGGCGUUAAGAAUUCCACUGUGGUUUGAUACAUGGAGGUUCUCACUGUGUUGCCCAGGCUGGAGUGCAGUAGCAUGAUAGCUCACUACAGCCUCAAGCAAUCCUCCUGCCACACCUCCCGAGUAGCUGGAACUACAGGUGUGUGCCACCAUGCCUGGCUAAUUUUUUUAUUUUAUUUUAUUUUUUGUAGAGAUGGAGUCUCACUAUGUUGCCCAGGCUGGCCUCAAAACUCCUGGCCUCAAGUGAUCCUCCUGCCUCGGUCUCUCAAAUUGUUGGGAUGACAGGUAUGAGCCACUGCACAUGGCCCAAGAGUUUUUGUUUGUUAGUUUUGUUUUUUGAGAUGGAUUUUCACUCAUCUCCCAGGUUGCAGUGAGCUGAGAUCACGUCAUCGCACUCCAGCCUGGGCAACAAGAGGGAAACUCCUUCCCCGCCUCCCCCACCAAAAAAAAAGAGAA
This 526-nucleotide small RNA is filed under the name Pan troglodytes (chimpanzee). RNAcentral describes it as "sense intronic". Lineage: Eukaryota; Metazoa; Chordata; Mammalia; Primates; Hominidae. The record is from RNAcentral.